Molecule: ribosomal RNA, 273 nt
Filed under: uncultured bacterium
Lineage: Bacteria
Description: partial small subunit ribosomal RNA
Rfam family: Bacterial small subunit ribosomal RNA
Source: RNAcentral
AGAAUCAACGCUGGCGGCGUGCCCCAGACAUGCAAGUCGAACGCGAAAGUCCCCUUCGGGGGACAAGUAGAGUGGCGCACGGGUGAGUAACACGUAGGUAAUCUACCUUCGGAUGGGGAAUAACAAUCGGAAACGAUUGCUAAUACCGCAUAAUGCAGCGGCACCUAAUGGUGACAGUUGUUAAAGCGGGGGAUCGAAAGACCUCGCGUCUGAAGAGGAGCCUGCGGCGGAUUAGCUAGUUGGUAAGGUAAUGGCUUACCAAGGCUACGAUCC